This 479-nucleotide ribosomal RNA is filed under the name uncultured bacterium. Its description in RNAcentral is "partial 16S ribosomal RNA". It matches the Rfam family "Bacterial small subunit ribosomal RNA", at positions 28 to 523 of the family's 1533-position model. The record is from RNAcentral.
GACGAACGCUGGCGGCGUGCUUAACACAUGCAAGUCGAACGAUGAAGCCCAGCUUGCUGGGUGGAUUAGUGGCGAACGGGUGAGUAACACGUGGGCAACCUGCCCCAAACUCUGGGAUAACUCCUCGAAAGAGGUGCUAAUACCGGAUACGAACUAGGUAGACAUCUGCACUAGUUGGAAAGUUUUUCGGUUUGGGAUGGGCCCGAGGCCUAUCAGCUUGUUGGUGAGGUAACGGCUCACCAAGGCUACGACGGGUAACCGGCCUGAGAGGGCGACCAGACACAAUGGAACUGAGACACGGUCCAUACUCCUACGGGAGGCAGCAGUGAGGAAUCUUCCGCAAUGGGCGAAAGCCUGACGGAGCGACACCGCGUGGAGGACGAAGGCCUUUUGGUUGUAAACUCCUUUUCUGGGGGAAUAAUUGAUGAAGGUACCCCAGGAAUAAGCACCGGCUAACUACGUGCCAGCCGCCGCAGUAA